This 66-nucleotide transfer RNA is filed under the name Varanus komodoensis (Komodo dragon). RNAcentral's name for it is "tRNA-Arg". Lineage: Eukaryota; Metazoa; Chordata; Lepidosauria; Squamata; Varanidae. The record is from RNAcentral.
CAAAGACUGGUCUAAUCAAGACAGUUGAUUUCGACUCAACAAAUCCCACUCUUGUGGGGUCUUUUU